CCGCGGCGAGGACCCGGGCGAGCCUCGGAGGCGGGGUGGAACUUCGAGGCCGGAAGUUGUCUAUGCUUGAGACGCUGGUGGCCGGCGAGCUUGCUGCGUCCCGGAGGCGAGGCGGAGUGCGCGGUCCCGGGAUGUGGGUCCCUUCGCCCCAGACUAUGACAGAGGCUCCAUUCUCACCCGAGUACUACCUGGGUACCAGGUUGCUGAUGUUUGUUGGAUCCUUCAGUUGACCAAGCACUCGGGAAAGCGAGCGCGGAGAGACUCUUCGCCUUCGCUUCUCAGCUCUUCAGUAUGAAAACAAAGUUUGGACCAAGAAAUACAGAGAUGAGUGAAGGAACUGGAGAGAGAGCUCAUCAAUUAAGAGCCCUUGCUGGCAAAGUUUGGUUCUAGUCUCCACGGGGAGGGAAGGGGGGCGACGGGUAGAGCAGCCAGGAACUCUAAGUUCCAGGGAACCUGACACCCUCUUCUGGCCUUGGUUGGCAUCUACACUCAGGUUCACAUACUCACACUCAGAAACAUAAUUAAAAAUCCUUAUGCCCCGA
Molecule: non-coding RNA, 542 nt
Organism: Cricetulus griseus (Chinese hamster)
Lineage: Eukaryota; Metazoa; Chordata; Mammalia; Rodentia; Cricetidae
Source: RefSeq, a predicted model, not a curated record